This 384-nucleotide ribosomal RNA is filed under the name uncultured bacterium. RNAcentral describes it as "bacterial SSU rRNA". It matches the Rfam family "Bacterial small subunit ribosomal RNA", at positions 29 to 414 of the family's 1533-position model. The record is from RNAcentral.
AUUGAACGCUGGCGGCAUGCCUUACACAUGCAAGUCGAACGGCAGCACGGGAGCAAUCCUGGUGGCGAGUGGCGAACGGGUGAGUAAUAUAUCGGAACGUGCCCGGUCGUGGGGGAUAACGUAGCGAAAGCUACGCUAAUACCGCAUACGAUCUACGGAUGAAAGCGGGGGGAUCGCAAGACCUCGCGCGAUUGGAGCGGCCGAUAUCAGAUUAGGUAGUUGGUGAGGUAAAGGCUCACCAAGCCGACGAUCUGUAGCUGGUCUGAGGGGACGACCAGCCACACUGGGACUGAGACACGGCCCAGACUCCUACGGGAGGCAGCAGUGGGGAAUUUUGGACAAUGGGCGAAGCCUGAUCCAGCAAUGCUGCGUGCAGGAAGAAGG